UACGAAGGGGGCUAGCGUUGCUCGGAAUCACUGGGCGUAAAGGGUGCGUAGGCGGAUCUUUAAGUCAGGGGUGAAAUCCUGGAGCUCAACUCUAGAACUGCCUUUGAUACUGAGGAUCUCGAGUUCGGGAGAGGUGAGUGGAACUGCGAGUGUAGAGGUGAAAUUCGUAGAUAUUCGUCAAGAACACCGAUUGCGAAGGCAGCUGACGAAACUAUAACUGACACUGAGGCUCGAAAGUGCGGGGAUCAAACAGG
RNAcentral lists this ribosomal RNA (254 nucleotides) under uncultured bacterium. RNAcentral's name for it is "partial 16S ribosomal RNA". It matches the Rfam family "Bacterial small subunit ribosomal RNA", at positions 524 to 776 of the family's 1533-position model. The record is from RNAcentral.